GCCUUCGUGGUGUAGUGGUCAACACACUCGGCUCAUAUUUGAGAGGUCCGAGGUUCGAAUCCUGGCGACAGCA
Stegodyphus dumicola is the source of this 73-nucleotide non-coding RNA. NCBI's taxonomy places the organism in Eukaryota, Metazoa, Arthropoda, Arachnida, Araneae, Eresidae. The record is from the annotation of a RefSeq genome assembly.